Molecule: ribosomal RNA, 400 nt
Filed under: phytoplankton environmental sample
Lineage: Eukaryota
Description: partial small subunit ribosomal RNA
Rfam family: Eukaryotic small subunit ribosomal RNA
Source: RNAcentral
AGCUCUGUAAGCGUAUACCAAAGUUGUUGCAGUUAAAACGCUCGUAGUCGGAUUUUGGCAGUUCCGGAUGUGUGCGCGUCGUGCGCGCACUUUGCAGGGAUUGCUUUUGUGGGUAUGCGUGGGAUGAUGCAACUUUAUUGUUGAACGUCCCUACGCAACCACUCUUUACUGUGAGAAAAUUAGAGUGUUCAAAGCAGGCAAUUGCCGUGAAUACAUUAGCAUGGAAUAAUAGAAUAGGACUCUGUCUUAUUUUGUUGGUUUGUUAAUUCGGAGUAAUGAUUAAGAGGGACAGUUGGGGGCAUUUGUAUUUCGGCGCUAGAGGUGAAAUUCUUAGAUUGCCGAAAGACAAACUGCUGCGAAAGCGUCUGCCAAGGAUGUUUUCAUUGAUCAAGAACGAAAG